GAAAUUGUAGAAGUUAUUCUAUUAAUAUUAAGCCUCUUCGUCUUGCUCUUUAGCAAAGAAUCUUAGAGGUUGAUCCAUGGCUGAUAUCAAUAUCCAGGGAAAAAAAAAAGGAAAAGCAAAAAUCUUUUUUUGGAAAAAAGGGUAAUGAGAGAACUCAUUACAAGGACUAGGUAGAAAUUAUGAAAUCUUGCUUUCUUUUUCAGACAUCCCACANNNNNNNNNNNNCUGCUGCAGCUUGUUGCUCAAAGUGACCCAAACCUUGAUGAAUUCUUGGAUGACCAAUUCCUCUAAAC
This 293-nucleotide unclassified non-coding RNA is filed under the name Hevea brasiliensis (rubber tree). Lineage: Eukaryota; Viridiplantae; Streptophyta; Magnoliopsida; Malpighiales; Euphorbiaceae. The record is from RNAcentral.